AGUGAACGCUGGCGGUAGGCCUAACACAUGCAAGUCGAACGGCAGCACAGUAAGAGCUUGCUCUUACGGGUGGCGAGUGGCGGACGGGUGAGGAAUACAUCGGAAUCUACUUUUUCGUGGGGGAUAACGUAGGGAAACUUACGCUAAUACCUCAUACGACCUACGGGUGAAAGCAGGGGAUCUUCGGACCUUGCGCGAUUGUAUGAGCCGAUGUCGGAUUAGCUAGUUGGCGGGGUAAAGGCCCACCAAGGCGACGAUCCGUAGCUGGUCUGAGAGGAUGAUCAGCCACACUGGAACUGAGACACGGUCCAGACUCCUACGGGAGGCAGCAGUGGGGAAUAUUGGACAAUGGGCGCAAGCCUGAUCCAGCCAUACCGCGUGGGUGAAGAAGGCCUUCGGGUUGUAAAGCCCUUUUGUUGGGAAAGAAAAGCAGCAGGUUAAUACCCCGCUGUUCUGACGGUACCCAAAGAAUAAGCACCGGCUAACUUCGUG
RNAcentral lists this ribosomal RNA (492 nucleotides) under uncultured bacterium. RNAcentral's name for it is "partial 16S ribosomal RNA". It matches the Rfam family "Bacterial small subunit ribosomal RNA", at positions 29 to 507 of the family's 1533-position model. The record is from RNAcentral.